RNAcentral lists this ribosomal RNA (759 nucleotides) under uncultured bacterium. RNAcentral describes it as "bacterial SSU rRNA". It matches the Rfam family "Bacterial small subunit ribosomal RNA", at positions 744 to 1504 of the family's 1533-position model. The record is from RNAcentral.
CACUGAGGUGCGAAAGCGUGGGGAGCAAACGGGAUUAGAUACCCCGGUAGUCCACGCCGUAAACGAUGUCUACUAGCCGUUGGAGGACUUGAUCCUUUAGUGGCGCAGCUAACGCGAUAAGUAGACCGCCUGGGGAGUACGGUCGCAAGAUUAAAACUCAAAUGAAUUGACGGGGGCCCGCACAAGCGGUGGAGCAUGUGGUUUAAUUCGAAGCAACGCGAAGAACCUUACCUACUCUUGACAUCCAGUGAACUUUUGAGAGAUCAAUUGGUGCCUUCGGGAACACUGAGACAGGUGCUGCAUGGCUGUCGUCAGCUCGUGUUGUGAAAUGUUGGGUUAAGUCCCGUAACGAGCGCAACCCUUGUCCUUAGUUACCAUCAUUAAGUUGGGGACUCUAAGGAGACUGCCGGUGACAAACCGGAGGAAGGCGGGGACGACGUCAAGUCAUCAUGGCCCUUACGAGUAGGGCUACACACGUGCUACAAUGGCAUGUACAAAGGGUUGCCAAGCCGCGAGGUGGAGCUAAUCCCAUAAAGCAUGUCGUAGUCCGGAUUGGAGUCUGCAACUCGACUCCAUGAAGUCGGAAUCGCUAGUAAUCGUGAAUCAGAAUGUCACGGUGAAUACGUUCCCGGGCCUUGUACACACCGCCCGUCACACCAUGGGAGUGGGUUGCUCCAGAAGUAGAUAGCUUAACCUUCGGGAGGGCGUUUACCACGGAGUGAUUCAUGACUGGGGUGAAGUCGUAACAAGGUAGCCGUA